UCAUUUGUGGACUUUGGGGUCGAAAUAGGAUCGACGGACGUCUAAAGAUGUUAGCUUUUGCCCGGUGCGGUGUCGCUGUUAUCGACCCAUUUAAGCUAGUUGCAAAUGACAACAAAGCACCGAUGGCUUUGGCUGCGUAAGCGGUCCGAAAAAUUGGAACCUUAAGUCUUAGGCCUGCGGUCUAAGCGGGGUUCGGAGGUACCUGGCAACAGAAACCUCCACU
This 223-nucleotide transfer-messenger RNA is filed under the name Amylibacter sp. RNAcentral describes it as "partial transfer-messenger RNA". It matches the Rfam family "Alphaproteobacteria transfer-messenger RNA", at positions 128 to 355 of the family's 355-position model. Rfam says of the family: Bacterial tmRNA, also known as 10Sa RNA or SsrA, is named for its dual tRNA and mRNA-like properties. Its role is to liberate the mRNA from a stalled ribosome. To accomplish this part of the tmRNA is used as a reading frame that ends in a translation stop signal. The record is from RNAcentral. Lineage: Bacteria; Pseudomonadati; Pseudomonadota; Alphaproteobacteria; Rhodobacterales; Paracoccaceae.